This is a long non-coding RNA of Gasterosteus aculeatus aculeatus (three-spined stickleback), 1656 nucleotides long. The record is from Ensembl. Lineage: Eukaryota; Metazoa; Chordata; Actinopteri; Perciformes; Gasterosteidae.
UGUACGUCCCCAUUAUGAUGGAUUCCCACAAACGACUGGGCUCCAUUUCAAACGGGAGAACCUGUUUUGUGAUUUUGUAAGCUUGUCACUUAACCUUCUCACUGCUCAUCCCCAGUAAAGCAUAUACUGAACACACAGAAUGCACAGAAUAUACUGGGCAGUGUGUAUGUGUGUGUGUGUGUGUGUGUGUGUGUGUGUGUGUGUGUGUGUGUGUGUGUGUGUGUAGUGUGCGCUGCGGUUACAGGAAUGAAAACCUCACUGCGCCACAUUUUUUAAUUGUAUUUCUCUGGCGUUGUCUUCUCUAUGCAAAUUCAAAAGUGCGUUGUUGUUGGGUGACGUUUGUAAGUUUGCCAAAUCUUUCAGUGUCUGAUCGACUCAGUUGUUGGAGUAGGUUUAUAAAAAAAGUGUAUUUAGUAUUUAAAGAUGUAGAAUUCAGUAAAAGUUAAGACAAGCAUCUGUUACAGGAGGACUUUACUGUCCUAUUUUUAGGUGAAAGAUGUCGAUGUGUUGAACUCUCCACAGGCGUUCACUGACUCAGCGUCAGUGACUUUGACUUCUGGUGGAGCUGGUUGGUUUCACUCAGCCUCCGGGAUCAUAGUCGUUUUACAUAUCGAGUCAAAUAUCAGUAACAGCCCUGCUGCUUUUGAAUCAUAAUAUCUACACCAGUACUCCGAAUUGGAAAACAACAAUCUAUCGCAUCUACGUCUGGGGAAAUAUAUAUUCACUAAACCUUUGAUAGAUGGAUUAAAAGUGAAAUUCUGGCUGGAUGAGUGUACAAUUUUCUUGUCACUGCUUCGGACUGCGAAACCCUUGGAGAAGCCGGGUGUGCCUACAGAGUCGUGGUGGUAGAUGAGAGAAAUGAAGCUCCUGCGCGUAUUAGGUGCGUAUCUGCCUCUGUGUUGCAGAGGUUGCCAACCACUGCACCGCAGUCAGGGACCGUACAGUCCAGUGGUUAUUCGUACCCUGACCACGUACUUCAGAGUUUACUCAUUCUCCUUUGGCUGCAGGAUUUUGUGUGUGUGUGUGUGAGAGUGAGAGUGAGUGAGCGUUCUUUCAGUUAUAAUUGCUGCAGAUACAUGAGACACACACACACAUACACGCGCACACACACGCAUGCUUGACAGAAUGCAUGUGUGUGUGUGUGCACAUGUACAGUGCGACCAAACCAACACGGCUGCGUGAUGAUUAAUCACUGAACACAGUUUACCCUCCCUUGCUGAAACGGUAUCCGUAGUAAUUACACACGCACACCGACACGCAUCUCGCGUUAGGAAUUAUUUAGAAAGACGGAGAGAAAUAUAAAAAGACAGAGGAAUACAGAGAAAUAAGAGACCGUGGAUUUGAGUUUGAUUGUGAGUGACACCUCAGAACAAAGCAAUUAUUGAUUUCACUCUCUCAACAGCUUUUCUUAUUGCCGGUGCAAGUGUGAUUGUGUUAAGCGUAAUUCAGGGAAAACACCAAAGAACUGAUCCAUCACAUUAAUUACAGUCUAUUUGGAAAGUGCAGUUUAAAAUCCUGUGUUUUCGACGGUUAAGGUUGACGGACUUUGUACAGUUUACAAUUACUACGAAUGAUUUGUAGAUUUUUUUCAAUGAAAUGUAUGUUCUGUUGUAUUUAGUCAGGGCUGUCAUUGAUCUCCUCAUCAUCAAACACUCA